Molecule: non-coding RNA, 480 nt
Organism: Lolium perenne
Lineage: Eukaryota; Viridiplantae; Streptophyta; Magnoliopsida; Poales; Poaceae
Source: RefSeq, a predicted model, not a curated record
CCAUGGAUAUUGGACGGAAAUGAAGCAAUAGAGAGGACAGGCCCUAUAUGAGCCCAACACAUACUACUCAUUUGUCUCUUUGGUUCAGCUACUAAGCGAGGUUGGAUCGAGAGAUGCGCAGCCCGGUGCAUGCAUGCACGAUCAUAUUCAAGCUGAGCCUGCUGAGGAAUGACAAGUUCCAAGGAGGGAUAUCAAAAUGCAAUCCGCUCCUUCCUACUUCAUUUCUCUUUCUUGAAUCAUGGUUGUAUCAGAAUAUUAUGGCUCACACACUUACUCAGGUUCAGUAGAACUUAAUCACUGAGUGUUUUAACUUUUUUGCUAAUCAUACACAGAUCUCCAUUCAUCCGAUGUAAGAACUGUAGAUGCCCAUCCUCUGGUUUGCAGCACAGCUCCACCUCACUAUAUUAGCUUGCAGUAGAAUAUUUGUAUUGUUCUUCAGCUCAUGACUAAAUAAGGGCGCUCCUGUGCUACCUCUCUGUU